GCAGGGUCUCCACGCUCUGGUUGGAUUCUGCUUUGGUGAUGACCGAAUCCCCUGGUGAGCUUCCUGCAGUACCACAGACACUUUACUGCUGUAACUGUGAAGGAAGAGAUUGCCAUGUGCAUAUGCAUUAAUCUACAGAAUGGGAAAAAAUGAGAAUCAACAAUUUCAAAAAGCUCUCUAGAAAAAAAAUAAUAAAAAAAAAA
This is a non-coding RNA of Meleagris gallopavo (turkey), 203 nucleotides long. The record is from RefSeq and is a predicted model, not a curated record. NCBI's taxonomy places the organism in Eukaryota, Metazoa, Chordata, Aves, Galliformes, Phasianidae.